Long non-coding RNA from Corticium candelabrum, 696 nucleotides. RefSeq lists it as uncharacterized. The record is from RefSeq and is a predicted model, not a curated record. NCBI's taxonomy places the organism in Eukaryota, Metazoa, Porifera, Homoscleromorpha, Homosclerophorida, Plakinidae. The transcript is spliced from 2 exons.
CCGGCCGUUGUUGCCAGACGAGCGUUUUUGUGCGUCAGAGGAAAUUCUCGAAGCGACAAUGUGGCAAAGUCGAAACCAGGAAAAGGCAUCGAGUUGUUUGGCUGGGUGCAGUGACGUGGGCCCGACGAGAUGCGGUCGAAUGCAGGUCACCUGUGAAUGCCGACAUAAGAGUUAAUUAGUAACUAGAAUGUCGGAUGAAUGUCAAAUUUUAGACGUAUGGAUAGAUCGACUUUGUCGCUGUGGAGAUGUGUUUAGCAGUGCAGUUCGAUAAUUUAUACGAAAGUGCAGCCUUGAAAGGGAAAGAGCAUGAAUAAUGGAAUCAAGAUUAUGGACAGAUGGGUAUAAAUGCAACAAAGAGACACAUCUAGCGGACACCUGUUCAAGAAAGAACUAGAGGGAAGUUAUGUUAAUUCGUGCAUUUGCUUUAUUCAUGUAUUGACGGAGGGUAAAUCUUAGGUUUGUCAACAUUGCAAGCAGUGCAGGUUUCUUUUCGAAGAAGUUCCAUACAAUCAGUGGAAUAUUUCAAGCAUAGGGGUGUGGACUAUGUAAAUCCUGUGGAAGUUCAUAGCUAUAUAACUGAGAUAUUGGGGCCUGUUGUAUUUGUGGUGAACGGAAGCUUGGACUGAUUUUAGAGUGAAAUCAUCUUAACUGAUAAUUAUUAUAUUAUAUAUUUCACAACAGGAAACUACUAUGAGA